UUAUUUUAUUUUAAGAUUUGAGCAUCAUGUAGACGUGAUGUUUUAGAAUGUAAAAUAGUCGUAUAUAUAAAAUAUAAUAGAAUUAAAAUUUUUAAUUUGGUUAUAAUAUUUAGAGCAGCGACUAGAUUUAAGAAGUUAAAAAGGUUAAUGUAGAAUGUGAUGUUUUAGAAUUUAAAAUAGUCGUAUAUGUAAAAUAUAAUAGAAUUAAUUUUUUUAAUUUGGUUACAAUAUUUAAAGCGAUUAGAUUUAAGAAGUUAAGAAGGCUAAUGAAUAAGAACUCGAGUAAUUUUUGAAUGGAUGACCUUUUAAAAAGUAAGGACGUGACAAAUUGUAAAU
This 336-nucleotide long non-coding RNA is filed under the name Ananas comosus (pineapple). RNAcentral describes it as "long non-coding RNA (ACOM_LNC036954)". The record is from RNAcentral. Lineage: Eukaryota; Viridiplantae; Streptophyta; Magnoliopsida; Poales; Bromeliaceae.